Molecule: ribosomal RNA, 425 nt
Filed under: uncultured bacterium
Lineage: Bacteria
Description: bacterial SSU rRNA
Rfam family: Bacterial small subunit ribosomal RNA
Source: RNAcentral
GUGGGGAAUAUUGGACAAUGGGCGCAAGCCUGAUCCAGCCAUGCCGCGUGGAUGAUGAAGGCCUUAGGGUUGUAAAGUCCUUUUAACGGGGAAGAUAAUGACGGUACCCGUAGAAUAAGCCCCGGCUAACUUCGUGCCAGCAGCCGCGGUAAUACGAAGGGGGCUAGCGUUGCUCGGAAUUACUGGGCGUAAAGCGCACGUAGGCGGUUUCUUAAGUCGGGGGUGAAAUCCUGGAGCUCAACUCCAGAACUGCCUUCGAUACUGGGAAACUUGAGUUCGGGAGAGGUGAGUGGAACUGCGAGUGUAGAGGUGAAAUUCGUAGAUAUUCGCAAGAACACCAGUGGCGAAGGCGGCUCACUGGCCCGAUACUGACGCUGAGGUGCGAAAGCGUGGGGAGCAAACAGGAUUAGAUACCCUAGUAGUCC